RNAcentral lists this ribosomal RNA (393 nucleotides) under uncultured bacterium. RNAcentral describes it as "bacterial SSU rRNA". It matches the Rfam family "Bacterial small subunit ribosomal RNA", at positions 355 to 764 of the family's 1533-position model. The record is from RNAcentral.
UGAGGAAUAUUGCCCAAUGGACGCAAGUCUGAGGCAGCGACGCCGCGUGGGUGAAGAAGGCCUUCGGGUCGUAAAGCCCUUUUCUGUGUGACGAGCAAGGACGGUAGCACAGGAAAAAGUCUCGGCUAACUACGUGCCAGCAGCCGCGGUAAUACGUAGGGGGCAAGCGUUGUCCGGAUUUACUGGGUGUAAAGGGCGCGCAGGCGGGAUAAAAAGUCAGUGGUGAAAUCCUACAGCUUAACUGUAGAACUGCCUUUGAUACUUUUAUUCUUGAGUUCGGGAGAGAGAGACGGAAUUCCAGGUGUAGUGGUGAAAUACGUAGAUAUCUGGAAGAACACCAGUUGCGAAGGCGGUCGCUUGGUCCGACACUGACGCUGAGGCGCGAAAGCGUGG